Molecule: ribosomal RNA, 599 nt
Filed under: uncultured organism
Description: bacterial SSU rRNA
Rfam family: Bacterial small subunit ribosomal RNA
Source: RNAcentral
CGGUACCCUUGGAAUAAGCGUCGGCUAACUACGUGCCAAGCGCCGCGGUAAGACGUAGGACGCAAGGCGUUAUCCGGAUUUACUGGGCGUAAAGCGUUCUGCCAGCCGGUUCCAUAACUUGGGCGGUGAAGCUCCGGGUCUCAACCCGGAGAGGUCGUUCAAUACUGUGGAACUAGAGGGCAUCAGAGGGGCGUGGCACAUUUCCGGUGUAGCGGUACAAUGCGCAGAUAUCGGAAGGACCACCAAUUGGCGAAGGCAGCGCUCUGGGGUGUACCGGACGUUAAGAGACGAAAAGGCUAGGGGAGCGAACAGGAUUAGAGACCCUGGUAGUCCUAGCCCCUUAACUGAUGGAUGUCUUAGUUUUGGGAGCGAGAGCUUCCGUGCCGGAGUUAACGCUCUAAGCAUCCCGCAUGGGGAAUACGGCCGCAAGGCUUAUACUCAAACGAAUUGACGGGGCCCCGCACAAGCAGCGGAGCGUGUGGGUUUAAUUCGAUGCUACACGAAGAAACCUUACCUGGGUUUGACAUACUAGUGGGUAGUGGAACGAAAGUGAAGCGACCCUUCGGGGAGCUAGUACAGGUGCUGCAUGGCUGUCGUCA